This 254-nucleotide long non-coding RNA is filed under the name Prunus persica (peach). RNAcentral's name for it is "long non-coding RNA (PPER_LNC007978)". Lineage: Eukaryota; Viridiplantae; Streptophyta; Magnoliopsida; Rosales; Rosaceae. The record is from RNAcentral.
GAACUAUAGUCUGCUGAACUUGUUAUUGGGGUCUCGAUUUCACUAGACUCAGAGUUUCUUAAUUCUAACACCUUAAUUAAUUGGGCUUUUUCUUCGUAUGUGAUUUUCAAUUAUUUGAUUGUGUCUUUAACUUUACAUUCAUUAGCAUAAUGACCAUGUUUUUUAUAAUUCCAGCACUCAAUUUUUCUUUUGUCUGUAUUUUUCUUUUUCUUGUCUCUUUUCAGUGCUUUUGACCAAUUUUUGCGAGGGUUAAA